UAAUAAGUGUUUUAUGGCACUUUUUAAAUCCAUAUCCACCUUGUGUGCAAUGUCAGUCGUUCUCCCCAUAGAAGAGAACGACCAAACAUCAACCUAUUCUUCAACUCUUUGUCUGAAAAAUAUUAUGAAUAAAAUAAUUCAAAAUA
Molecule: unclassified non-coding RNA, 146 nt
Filed under: uncultured Mortierella
Lineage: Eukaryota; Fungi; Mortierellomycota; Mortierellomycetes; Mortierellales; Mortierellaceae
Description: sequence contains ITS1
Source: RNAcentral